AUGUCUCCUGCCAGCUCGUUCGCGUCGCUCUGCCGGCACAGGCUGAUCCACAUCCACUGCACCACCCGCCUCGGCUGCGACAACCCGCCUGCCACGGCGGCGCAUUUUCUGGCGUUGGAUCGGCGGAGAUCGUUUUCGUCCUCUGGCCUGCGCCGUGGCAUCAGAGGAACCAGGAGCAGCGGCGGCGGCGCAGGUGGCACAGGACGACCUGCUGCAGGUUUCUCCACCUGGGCAAGACUGGCAAUUGGCUCCACUGUUGCUGUCGCGGCGCCGUUCCUGCACUCCAAAUCGGCGUCGAUUCUGCGGAUCGGAAAUGAGGUGGAGAUGGUGAAGGACGCCGCCGAGACCGCGGCGGAGGUCGUGGAGGAGGUGGCCACGGUGGCCGAGAAGGUGUCGUCCGAGGUGGCCGGGCAUCUGCCGGAGGACGGCAGGCUGAGACGCGCCGCGGUGGUGGUCGAGCACGCCUCCAAGGAAGUCGCGGAGGAGGCUCAUCUUGCACGAGACAUCAUCCACAAGGUUGACGAAAUUGAGGAGGACGUCAAGGCAAUUAUUGAACCGAUUAUGGAUCAUGGGAAGCACCAAAGGAAGCAUUUAGAAAAGUAG
This 603-nucleotide ribosomal RNA is filed under the name Triticum aestivum (bread wheat). Its description in RNAcentral is "partial small subunit ribosomal RNA". The record is from RNAcentral. Lineage: Eukaryota; Viridiplantae; Streptophyta; Magnoliopsida; Poales; Poaceae.